This 254-nucleotide unclassified non-coding RNA is filed under the name fungal sp. Its description in RNAcentral is "partial contains 5.8S ribosomal RNA, internal transcribed spacer 2, and large subunit ribosomal RNA". Lineage: Eukaryota; Fungi. The record is from RNAcentral.
CGCACAUUGCGCCCUUUGGCAUUCCGAGGGGCAUGCCCGUUCGAGCGUCAUUAAAUCCAAUCAAGCCUGGCUUGGUAUUGGGCGUCGGGGUCUCCCCGCGCCUCAAUUUCACCGGCUGGCCGUCGCCCGUCUUAGCGUUGUGACUUUUGUUUCGCUAGCGAUGGGAGGGGGACACGCCGUUAAACCGCACAAGUUUCUACCGAAAUUUGAUUAAGGUUGACCUCGGAUCGGGUAGGAAUACCCGCUGAACUUAA